This 261-nucleotide ribosomal RNA is filed under the name uncultured bacterium. Its description in RNAcentral is "partial 16S ribosomal RNA". It matches the Rfam family "Bacterial small subunit ribosomal RNA", at positions 524 to 776 of the family's 1533-position model. The record is from RNAcentral.
UACGUAGGGUGCAAGCGUUGUCCGGAAUUAUUGGGCGUAAAGAGCUCGUAGGCGGUUUGUCGCGUCUGCCUGUGAAAAACCCCGAGGCUCAACCUCGGGCCUGCAGUGGGUACGGGGCAGACUAGAGGUGCGGUAGGGGAGAUUGGAAUUCCUGGUGUAGCGGUGGAAUGCGCAGGAUAAUCAGGAGGAACACCAAUGGCGAAGGCAGAUCUCUGGGCCGUAACUGACGCUGGAGGAGCGAAAGCAUGGGGAGCGAACAGG